Mus caroli (Ryukyu mouse) is the source of this 2046-nucleotide long non-coding RNA. RefSeq lists it as uncharacterized. Lineage: Eukaryota; Metazoa; Chordata; Mammalia; Rodentia; Muridae. The record is from RefSeq and is a predicted model, not a curated record.
CCUAUGGUUUUACAUAACAGGAGAAUCUAACACUAACUGCUUUAGCUAACUUGAGGAUUUCCAAAAUGCUUUACAGUUGAGCUGAGGACAUGGUUGGCUGAGCCACAAAGAUGCCCCUGAGGAUCUAUCUUUGCUUCGGUCUAUAUGUGGUCCUCUCCCAUCUGUGUCUCAUUCCCCUAAGGACACAGGCUCGCUGCCAAUUAAGUCAGUUCUAUAUGCUUCCAGCCCUCCUGCCCCAAUGUUUCAAUCAAGACUUCUGAGAGAGCAGUGCUCACGAGACUUCUAAGAAGCUUCGCAGGGGACCCAGGAAAGAAAAGACUGGUCCAAAGCCUAAGCUUGAUAUUGCCAAGGGACUCGUGUGUUCACCCCAGAGUUGGGAGUGAUCAUGUAAGAUGCCACAUGCUGGAGGUGCCUGAGAGACAGAUUCCAAUGAGCAGAUUCAACGGAUUCCACACUUCUUGCCAUCCUAAUCCAGGUGUCAGAUAUAAGAGUGACGCCGUUUUGCACCCUUCAUACCUGUCCCCCUCGACAGUGCCCACCAAUGACUUCUGAUGUCACGGAAAAAGAAGAAUGGCUUGCCUGGACCCUACCAGAAUUUGUGAUCCACAAACUCUGAAAGAAAAUUUCACUGGAGAUAAGAGUUGACAAUUUUAAGCCACCAGAGCUCUAGAACAUAUAUAUUUUAAAAUUCCUAAACCAGGCUGAGUGGCCCAGCACUUUAAGGCAGACAGAUUGCAAGUUUGAGUUUGAGGACAGUCUGAACUACAGCAUAAAACACUGUCUCAAAAUAAAAAUCUUUUCUAUAGAAAACUGGGGUAAAGCUUGGCCUUCAGAAACUCAAUGUUAUGAGGGGUGGUGGUGAGGUCUGUUUAAAGAGGUAUAACAAUCAAACACAAUGAUGAACCAGCCCUCUUUGCUUCAAGCUCAAGAAAAAAAUAUUGAUUAUCAAUAUUUUUCAGACAUUGGGAGAUUUGAACGUGAACUAUUUACUACACAACAUUUUAAGGAAUUUAUGGCUAAUUGUGUUCGAUGCCCUCGUGACUUUGUAGUUAUGGAGAACAGUGCCUCUUUCUAGGAGAACUUCCUGGGGUAAUUAGAAAUCAAGUGUGUUAAUGAUGGAAAGUUACUUAACAGUGGUCAACCAAACAAUUAAGGUGGGGAAAGAGAGGAGAGGGGGAGGAUAUUAUGAAAGAUUGUCAGUGAUUGGAAUCUAGUUCUGGGCAGAUGGAAGCUCACUAUAUAAUCCUUUCAACAUUUGGUAUGUGAAAGUGUUCACAGUAAAAAGCAGAGAAUAAAAAAUCAGGGAAAAUAAACUUAUAAAAACCAUCUUCAGCAUCAUUAGUCACCAAGCAUAUGCAAUUAAAGCCAGAACACUAGACUGGGGACAUAGUCAGGCAUACGGUGCUUGUUUGACUACCAAGCACUGAAAAGAGGAAAGGGGAGAGGCAGUCCCAUCCACCAGGAUGACUAAAGGAUUAAGAAGAGGAGGACAGACAGGCUGGCACAGCUCUGAAGCAAGUAGAACUCCUCCACAGGACUGGUAAGAGCAGGUGGUGGUGAACCAUUGUGGAAAACUACCUGUAGUAUCUCCCAAAGCCACCACACCAACCCUGAGACUCGACAGUUCACCCUCCUAAAGUGGUCAUCUACGUUCUCAUCCAAAGGCAUUUAUAAGUGCUGCUGAAAAUAACUACAGCUAUGUGAGUAUACAUGACUAGGACAAUGAACAAGUCAAUGCAUCUCACAAGGAGGAUGAAUCGUUACCAGUGUUAAUAUUCGACUUAUGAGAGUGUAUAAAGCUCUGUAAACUGAAAUACUGCACCUGGUGGAACAGGCAGGUGAACCUAGCUACUCGGGAGGCUCUGAGGCAGGAGGAUUGCAAGUUUAAAGUCUUUUGGGGGCAACUGAAUGAGACCUGUUUCAAAAUAAGGUUAAAAGGGGAUAGAUUUCAGAAGUAGAACAAAAUCUGUGCUAGUUCUUGUAAUCGUAUGUGAACCAAAAGUAUGCUCACUCAAAGAUUAAUUACAAAGCAAAGGAAUGAAACAA